GAGUCCAUUAACAAACUACAAAAGACAGAAGAAUAAGAACAAUAUAACGUCAACGUCAAGCUUUUUUUAGCCUGCACAAAAGGUUCUAUUCCCAUUGCAAAUCAGCGUACGUCAUAGAACUGCUAGAAAAUGUUGCUUUGCAACGAGACAGGAAGGCGGUCCAGAAACAUAAGCCAAGCUCUCCGUAAAAAGUUGGAAUUCAAGUAAAAUUGUGAUGACUCGUUCGUGACUCGUUUGUAGCCGGGUUUUCGUGAUAACCCGAAGCGCACACGAUGGCAGUUAGAAGGGGUAAAUUCAGAGCGUUUUUGAAGUCUGCUUCAUCCAGCCCAAAGCACGAGGAACAUUCCUUUACCAACUCCGUGGAUGGCGAGAUCAGUGUUGAAAUAUCCGUUGGGCCGAGAGGAGAAAUCAGUAACCCGGAUGUGGAGAUUGCUGGAGGUAAUGACGAACCUUAUAUUCCCGGAAAUCCGGGAC
This is a long non-coding RNA of Orbicella faveolata, 474 nucleotides long. NCBI's taxonomy places the organism in Eukaryota, Metazoa, Cnidaria, Anthozoa, Scleractinia, Merulinidae. The record is from RefSeq and is a predicted model, not a curated record.